This is a long non-coding RNA of Frieseomelitta varia, 840 nucleotides long. RefSeq lists it as uncharacterized. NCBI's taxonomy places the organism in Eukaryota, Metazoa, Arthropoda, Insecta, Hymenoptera, Apidae. The transcript has 2 exons. The record is from RefSeq and is a predicted model, not a curated record.
CAGAAAUAUUCCAAAACCUUGUUUAACAUUUAGUAUCACGAAAAUAGAAGACGAUAGUCCUUGGAAACACUGGACAGGCCACUUUUUCCAUCGCGUUUUCCUAUUAGAAAGUACAGAGGGACCUGUUACACGGUUCAACCCCCUUUCGAAACGUAUAAGUCGUGUUUCUCGGCAACUUUUCGUCCUCUUUCGCGGACACGUGAAUAAUAAACACGGCGGGAAGGGAGAACGCGAGUGCGGUAUGAAGCCGUUUCGGAAACAUCAAGGAGGAAGUCAAACUCUCUCGAUUCUCUGACAAGCUGCCAAGCGUCUGAGGUCGCGGUUACGUAAGCGACGUGAAGCGCCUCGGGCCCCCGAUUCGAUUCAUCGUCCAACAAUAAUUCAUCGAUCGCGUUUUAUGCGCGUAUCAGCCCAGAUAUCACGCUGCUCGUGGAAGCAGGAAAAAUGUAGAACCGCACGAUCCUUGAUACACUACGUUCGGUAUCGGUUGAUUAAUAUCGGAGUGGAAGUGAAGUAAACAGCACCUUGCCGUGGAGAUAUUCUCUUUUCCGAUCGACGUUCGAUUUUUUUUUCCAGAUCGGAAGUAGAAUUGUGGUCCUCGCGCGUGGAGAGAAGAACAAAGUGAGAAUUAUGACCCUCGAGAAGAUUAUGAACCAGAGAACGAGAAAAAAUAAUAUUUUAGUAAAUGGUGAAGUGAAGUGAAGUGAAGGUAUUAAAAGUAUUAAAAUAAUUUUUAAUUGAAUAAACAAGUAUUGCCGUGAAAUUAUUGCAAACUGAUUUUUAGAUAAUCCUCGAGAAGAUUAUGAGCCGAAGAACGGAAAAAAUAGUAUUUUAAUAAAA